RNAcentral lists this ribosomal RNA (485 nucleotides) under uncultured organism. RNAcentral's name for it is "bacterial SSU rRNA". It matches the Rfam family "Bacterial small subunit ribosomal RNA", at positions 30 to 507 of the family's 1533-position model. The record is from RNAcentral.
AUUGAACGCUGGCGGCAGGCUUAACACAUGCAAGUCGAGCGGGGGGAGGUAGCUUGCUACCUAACCUAGCGGCGGACGGGUGAGUAAUGCUUAGGAAUCUGCCUAUUAGUGGGGGACAACAUUUCGAAAGGGAUGCUAAUACCGCAUACGCCCUAAGGGGGAAAGCAGGGGAUCUUCGGACCUUGCGCUAAUAGAUGAGCCUAAGUCGGAUUAGCUAGUUGGUGGGGUAAAGGCCUACCAAGGCGACGAUCUGUAGCGGGUCUGAGAGGAUGAUCCGCCACACUGGGACUGAGACACGGCCCAGACUCCUACGGGAGGCAGCAGUGGGGAAUAUUGGACAAUGGGGGGAACCCUGAUCCAGCCAUGCCGCGUGUGUGAAGAAGGCCUUUUGGUUGUAAAGCACUUUAAGCGAGGAGGAGGCUACCGAGAUUAAUACUCUUGGAUAGUGGACGUUACUCGCAGAAUAAGCACCGGCUAACUCUGUG